GAUGAACGCUGGCGGCGUGCCUAAUACAUGCAAGUCGAGCGAACAGACGAGGAGCUUGCUCCUCUGACGUUAGCGGCGGACGGGUGAGUAACACGUGGAUAACCUACCUAUAAGACUGGGAUAACUUCGGGAAACCGGAGCUAAUACCGGAUAAUAUAUUGAACCGCAUGGUUCAAUAGUGAAAGACGGUUUUGCUGUCACUUAUAGAUGGAUCCGCGCCGCAUUAGCUAGUUGGUAAGGUAACGGCUUACCAAGGCAACGAUGCGUAGCCGACCUGAGAGGGUGAUCGGCCACACUGGAACUGGGACACGGUCCAGACUCCUACGGGAGGCAGCAGUAGGGAAUCUUCCGCAAUGGGCGAAAGCCUGACGGAGCAACGCCGCGUGAGUGAUGAAGGUCUUCGGAUCGUAAAACUCUGUUAUUGGGGAAGAACAAAUGUGUAAGUAACUAUGCACGUCUUGACGGUACCUAAUCAGAAAGCCACGGCUAACUACGUG
This 497-nucleotide ribosomal RNA is filed under the name uncultured bacterium. RNAcentral's name for it is "partial 16S ribosomal RNA". It matches the Rfam family "Bacterial small subunit ribosomal RNA", at positions 28 to 507 of the family's 1533-position model. The record is from RNAcentral.